GCACUGAUUACUUCUCUGCCCAGCAACUUCCUCAUCCUUCAAGACUCAACUUGGACAUCACUUCUGCUAAGAAGUCUUCCCAGAACUUUCCUGGAUUUAAAAGGGUGAACUCAUGUCUAUUAACAUAUCCCGCCCGCGCAGCCCUCACCCGCCGACACCACCGGCCUCCGCCGGAUCGCGUUAUCAAUCAGGCCGGAGCAGUAGCCCAAGAAGCCGACGUAGGCGAGCCGCGGGUCAGUCAGCUUGGGCGGCGGCAGGCUCCGGGCCUCAUCCGGCAGGAGCUGUAAGGGCAUUCGGCUCGGCCGUCCGCUCAUCAUGGUGAUGCCGUUCUCACUUGAGGCCUGACCUCAGACCGCCAA
Molecule: non-coding RNA, 359 nt
Organism: Vicugna pacos (alpaca)
Lineage: Eukaryota; Metazoa; Chordata; Mammalia; Artiodactyla; Camelidae
Source: RefSeq, a predicted model, not a curated record